Molecule: ribosomal RNA, 234 nt
Filed under: uncultured Lactobacillus sp.
Lineage: Bacteria; Bacillati; Bacillota; Bacilli; Lactobacillales; Lactobacillaceae
Description: partial 16S ribosomal RNA
Rfam family: Bacterial small subunit ribosomal RNA
Source: RNAcentral
CCCAAGAGAUCGGGAUAACACCUGGAAACAGAUGCUAAUACCGGAUAAUAACAGAUGAUGCCUAUCAACUGUUUAAAAGAUGGUUCNUGCUAUCACUCUUGGAUGGACCUGCGGUGCAUUAGCUAGUUGGUAGGGUAACGGCCUACCAAGGCGAUGAUGCAUAGCCGAGUUGAGAGACUGAUCGGCCACAUUGGGACUGAGACACGGCCCAAACUCCUACGGGAGGCAGCAGCC